Molecule: ribosomal RNA, 492 nt
Filed under: uncultured bacterium
Lineage: Bacteria
Description: partial 16S ribosomal RNA
Rfam family: Bacterial small subunit ribosomal RNA
Source: RNAcentral
AGUGAACGCUGGCGGUAGGCCUAACACAUGCAAGUCGAACGGCAGCACAGUAAGAGCUUGCUCUUACGGGUGGCGAGUGGCGGACGGGUGAGGAAUACAUCGGAAUCUACUUUUUCGUGGGGGAUAACGUAGGGAAACUUACGCUAAUACCGCAUACGACGUACGGGUGAAGGCAGGGGAUCUUCGGACCUUGCGCGAUUGAAUGAGCCGAUGUCGGAUUAGCUAGUUGGCUGGGUAAAGGCCCACCAAGGCGCCGAUCCGUGGCUGGUCUGAGUGGAUGAUCGGCCGCACUGGAGCUGAGACACGGUCCAGACUCCUACGGGAGGCAGCAGUGGGGAAUAUUGGACAAUAGGCGCAAGCCUGAUCCAGCCAUACCGCGUGGGUGAAGAAGGCCUUCGGGUUGUAAAGCCCUUUUGUUGGGAAAGAAAAGCAGCAGGUUAAUACCCCGCUGUUCUGACGGUACCCAAAGAAUAAGCACCGGCUAACUUCGUG